Molecule: ribosomal RNA, 446 nt
Filed under: uncultured bacterium
Lineage: Bacteria
Description: partial 16S ribosomal RNA
Rfam family: Bacterial small subunit ribosomal RNA
Source: RNAcentral
CCUACGGGUGGCAGCAGUCGAGAAUCAUUCACAAUGGGGGAAACCCUGAUGGUGCGACGCCGCGUGGGGGAAUGAAGGUCUUCGGAUUGUAAACCCCUGUCAUGUGGGAGCAAAUUAAAAAGAUAGUACCACAAGAGGAAGAGACGGCUAACUCUGUGCCAGCAGCCGCGGUAAUACAGAGGACUCAAGCGUUGUGUGGAAUCACUGGGCGGAAGGCGUGCGUAGGCGGAUGCGUAAGUCCGGUGGUAAAGGCGCGGGGCAAACCCGCGGACGGCCCAUGAUACUGCGAGACUAGAGUAAUGGAGGGGGAACCGGAAUGCUCGGUGUAGCAGUGAAAUGCGUAGAUAUCGAGAGGAACACUCGUGGCGAAGGCGGGUUCCUGGACAUUAACUGACGCUGAGGCACGAAGGCCAGGGGAGCGAAAGGGAUUAGAUACCCUAGUAGUC